Molecule: non-coding RNA, 1115 nt
Organism: Macaca mulatta (Rhesus monkey)
Lineage: Eukaryota; Metazoa; Chordata; Mammalia; Primates; Cercopithecidae
Source: RefSeq, a predicted model, not a curated record
AGCAAUCUGUCUGCAUUGGCCUCCCAAAGUGCUGGAAUUGCAGGCGUGAGCCACCAUGCACCCAGCCACAAACAUUUAACUAGAAGAAAAAACAACAAAAAUGGACAGUGAUUAUUUUAUUUUUCUUCUUUACUUUUUUCUAUAUUUUUCUAAAACAAGCAGGUACUACUUGUCAGGAAAAUAAAUGCUGUUUAUAAAGAUAAUGUCCAUCAAGAGUGUUUUAAACGAAGAACUGUUUUCAAAAGAUUCUCUACACAGUCAGUUUUUAUCCCCAGCCUGGUAAGUGAAGGGCCCCCAUCCACUGUCCCCUGGUUAGAAGAGUUUUCCCAAGGGUUUCUUUUAACACGAGUCUGGGGUUAGGAGAAUUUUGUCCAGCAGGAACAAGAGUGACCUUAUUAGUCCAGUCAGAUUCUCUUACUAAUUGAGCUACACAGAGAUCAGUAGUAAAGGCAGAAAAGGAAAGGAAAGGGAAAGGAGGAGGGAGAGGAUGGGUUAUUUGAAUGGCUGGAGUGCAGACUACUGGGGAGGGGAUAAAGAAGCUUUAUAUUCACAUAAUAGCUGGAGCUGCCUUAGACCCUGGACAAGCUUCCAAUUCCAGGAUUCUAUGCCAUGCAGGUCCAUAGUUCCUAUUUUUCCCGUGAAGACUUGGUAAUUGGUCUUCCUGGCAGAUCCACGGCCAAGAAUCCUGUUUUCCUUGGUCCCACAGGUAACCUUUUAACAAUCUAUCUGGUGGCCCAUUAAAAUUCCCUUCUGGGUCGGACUAUAUUUGGAUUAUUUGAACCAGCUGAGCAAUUUCAGGAUAUGAAGAGCUUGAGACCAGGCAGUGCCGAACGACAGUACAAUGGUCGACACUGAGUUUUCCGGCAACUUCUUGUGCAGUUGUAAGAGGAUCAGCUUCAAUGAUUGCUCUCAGUUGGUCGUUGUCACCUUCUGCCGGCUGGCCACUACACUGCUCAUCUUCAAGGCUCUUGUCUCCUUUGCAGAACUUCUUGCACCACCACUGCACUGUAUGUUGGUUAGCAGUUCCCGGGCCAAAUGCAUUGCUGAUGUUGCAUGUUGUCUCUGCUUCCUUACAACCCAUUUUGAACUCAAAUAAGAAAACCACUCGAAUUUGC